RNAcentral lists this ribosomal RNA (91 nucleotides) under Photobacterium damselae. Lineage: Bacteria; Pseudomonadati; Pseudomonadota; Gammaproteobacteria; Vibrionales; Vibrionaceae. The record is from RNAcentral.
CACCUGAAUCCAUGCCGAACUCAGAAGUGAAACGCAGCAGCGCCGAUGGUAGUGUGGGGUCUCCCCAUGUGAGAGUAGGACAUCGCCAAGC